Molecule: ribosomal RNA, 257 nt
Filed under: uncultured bacterium
Lineage: Bacteria
Description: partial 16S ribosomal RNA
Rfam family: Bacterial small subunit ribosomal RNA
Source: RNAcentral
UACAGAGGUCUCAAGCGUUGUUCGGAUUCAUUGGGCGUAAAGGGUGCGUAGGCGGCGGGGCAAGUCUGAUGUGAAAUCCCGGGGCUCAACCCCGGAACUGCAUUGGAUACUGCUCUGCUUGAGCACUGGAGAGGAGACUGGAAUUUACGGUGUAGCAGUGAAAUGCGUAGAUAUCGAGAGGAACACCUGCGGCGAAGGCGGGGUUGCUGGGCUGACACUGACGCUGAUGCGCGAAAAGCUAGGGGGAGCGAACGGGG